Non-coding RNA from Xyrichtys novacula (pearly razorfish), 434 nucleotides. Lineage: Eukaryota; Metazoa; Chordata; Actinopteri; Labriformes; Labridae. The record is from the annotation of a GenBank genome assembly.
AGAAGAGGCAGAUCUCCUCACUGUCAAAAUGUAAGAAUCGCUUAAUUCAAAGGGGAUCCCCACGUCCAGGAGAAAAACAAGUGAGUUCUGCACAAAGCACACAAACUAAUAACUCUUCUUUUAGUGUCUAAAAAGUGGAGAACGAAGACGACACUUUUCAUGGGACAAACUUGACAAAUGGAGGAUUAUAUUCAUAAACCAGGCUUAAUACUACCGUCAUCGUCAUUGCUUUCUUCUGCUUAUUUGGAUCCAGGUCGCUGGGGCAGCAGCUUCAGGAGGGAAGUCCAGACGGCCUUCACUUCGGCCACUUCCACCAGCUCCUCCGGGGGGAUUCCCAGGCGCUCCCAGGCCAGGCGAGAGAUAUAAUCCCUCCACCUGGCCUUGGGCCGGCCACGAGGUCUCCUCCCGGUGAGACAUGUCCAGAACACCUCUAA